GCCAGCCUGACAGAGUGGUUUGAGGGCUGGACUGUGAUUCUGGAGACCUGGGUUCGAUUCCCAACUCGGUCA
This is a non-coding RNA of Phrynosoma platyrhinos (Desert horned lizard), 72 nucleotides long. The record is from the annotation of a GenBank genome assembly. Lineage: Eukaryota; Metazoa; Chordata; Lepidosauria; Squamata; Phrynosomatidae.